UACGCAUCCCCCUUCCGAAGUUGCCGGAGGAAAAUGUCUUCAAUAGCAAGCUCCGUCAGGGACGACGGAGCAGGCACCGUUGAGCCAUGGAUGGUGAGUCGGUGCCGGUUGCGUGCAUUGAAGGCAUUUUACGCAGGGUAACAACUUCGGUGGGGCGCCCUUU
This 163-nucleotide non-coding RNA is filed under the name Shewanella amazonensis SB2B. The record is from RNAcentral. Lineage: Bacteria; Pseudomonadati; Pseudomonadota; Gammaproteobacteria; Alteromonadales; Shewanellaceae.